Molecule: long non-coding RNA, 234 nt
Filed under: Elaeis guineensis (African oil palm)
Lineage: Eukaryota; Viridiplantae; Streptophyta; Magnoliopsida; Arecales; Arecaceae
Description: long non-coding RNA (EGUI_LNC001345)
Source: RNAcentral
UUGAUUUCAGAAAUCUUCUUAGUAUAAUGAACUCAUACGGCCACUGGAGCUCACCCACUUUGAGCCCAGGAAGGGUCGGUUAUGUCCUCUUUGAACGGCUUCAAUAGAGACACAUGGAACAUCGGAUGCACUUUCAGCUUGGAAGGCAGCAAUAAUCGAUACUCUAUCUUUUCAAUUUGAUGUGUGAUGAUGAAGAGACCUUCAUAUCUCCUUAUGAGUGCUUUGUGAUAGUCC